CAGACUUAGACAUCCUGUCUGUAAAAAGGAACGCUUCAUCUCCGGCUCCUUCUUCACUCUUGGUCCAGACCAGAAGUUUCAAAUAGGUUUCUGGUCCCCCGGGGAAUUCUUUUGUUCAGACACCUGGACACAAGAAGAAGGCUGGAGCCCUGGGGAUGUUUCGCAACCGGACCUGCAUCGGAAACCCAAAAUAUUCAAUAAAAAUC
Fundulus heteroclitus (mummichog) is the source of this 206-nucleotide long non-coding RNA. RefSeq lists it as uncharacterized. The record is from RefSeq and is a predicted model, not a curated record. Lineage: Eukaryota; Metazoa; Chordata; Actinopteri; Cyprinodontiformes; Fundulidae. The transcript has 3 exons.